GACGAACGCUGGCGGCGUGCUUAACACAUGCAAGUCGAACGGAAAGGCCCUGCUUUUGUGGGGUGCUCGAGUGGCGAACGGGUGAGUAACACGUGAGUAACCUGCCCUUGACUUUGGGAUAACUUCAGGAAACUGGGGCUAAUACCGGAUAGGAGCUCCUGCUGCAUGGUGGGGGUUGGAAAGUUUCGGCGGUUGGGGAUGGACUCGCGGCUUAUCAGCUUGUUGGUGGGGUAGUGGCUUACCAAGGCUUUGACGGGUAGCCGGCCUGAGAGGGUGACCGGCCACAUUGGGACUGAGAUACGGCCCAGACUCCUACGGGAGGCAGCAGUGGGGAAUAUUGCACAAUGGGCGGAAGCCUGAUGCAGCAACGCCGCGUGCGGGAUGACGGCCUUCGGGUUGUAAACCGCUUUCGCCUGUGACGAAGCGUGAGUGACGGUAAUGGGUAAAGAAGCACCGGCUAACUACGUGCCAGCAGCCGCGGUGAUACGUAGGGUGCGAGCGUUGUCCGGAUUUAUUGGGCGCAGAGGGCUCGUAGGUGGUUGAUCGCGUCGGAAGUGUAAUCUUGGGGCUUAACCCUGAGCGUGCUUUCGAUACGGGUUGACUUGAGGAAGGUAGGGGAGAAUGGAAUUCCUGGUGGAGCGGUGGAAUGCGCAGAUAUCAGGAGGAACACCAGUGGCGAAGGCGGUUCUCUGGGCCUUUCCUGACGCUGAGGAGCGAAAGCGUGGGGAGCGAACAGGCUUAGAUACCCUGGUAGUCCACGCUGUAAACGGUGGGUACUAGGUGUGGGGUCCAUUCCACGGGUUCCGUGCCGUAGCUAACGCUUUAAGUACCCCGCCUGGGGAGUACGGCCGCAAGGCUAAAACUCAAAGGAAUUGACGGGGCCCCGCACAAGCGGCGGAGCAUGCGGAUUAAUUCGAUGCAACGCGUAGAACCUUACCUGGGUUUGACAUGGAUCGGGAGCGCUCAGAGAUGGGUGUGCCUCUUUUGGGGUCGGUUCACAGGUGGUGCAUGGCUGUCGUCAGCUCGUGUCGUGAGAUGUUGGGUUAAGCCCCGCAACGAGCGCAACCCUUGUUCACUGUUGCCAGCACGUUAUGGUGGGGACUCAGUGGAGACCGCCGGGGUCAACUCGGAGGAAGGUGGGGAUGACGUCAAGUCAUCAUGCCCCUUAUGUCCAGGGCUUCACGCAUGCUACAAUGGCUGGUACAGAGAGUGGCGAGCCUGUGAGGGUGAGCGAAUCUCGGAAAGCCGGUCUCAGUUCGGAUUGGGGUCUGCAACUCGACCUCAUGAAGUCGGAGUCGCUAGUAAUCGCAGAUCAGCAACGCUGCGGUGAAUACGUUCCCGGG
RNAcentral lists this ribosomal RNA (1343 nucleotides) under uncultured bacterium. RNAcentral's name for it is "16S ribosomal RNA". It matches the Rfam family "Bacterial small subunit ribosomal RNA", at positions 28 to 1378 of the family's 1533-position model. The record is from RNAcentral.